AUUAAUCCCUGAGACAAAGGUACUGAAGGCAAGUGGCUGAAGAACAGGCUUGAUUGGACAGAUGACUUGGAGAUGUUCACUGGACAGGGACAGCCUUGUGAAGAUCUUUGUGAAUACCCGACCUCGCAAGCUCCAGAGACUACAAUAAUUCACUUGCCCUAGGUUCCAAAGCCAGCAAGUGGAAAACGGAGACUGGAAUUCCGCCCACAGGACUCCAAAGCCUGUGCAGCAACACCCCACUCCCCCGGCAGGAUCACCAGCAGGACGCGCGGGAGCCAGGAAGUAAGAUCCGUACCUCCAAGGCUCCCAUGGGCCCAAGCCUCCGCAUCAACAGACUGGGAGGGAUUACGUGGGGUCCCAGGGCCGGCUCUGAGGCGGGAAAACUUUCUGGAGGCGGCGGCCUCAGGCCGGAGCGGGCGCACACCGACUGGAGGGGUCGGAUUCAGGGAUGUGGGUGGACCGCAUUUCCCCAUCUUCCCCGCCGCGCACUUCCUCUGGUGCAAUCUCCACACCCCGCGCCGGCCCGCCUGCAACGCGCCCUGGCACUCACCGGUGGGCGAAAUUUCCCCGCCUCCACGUGAGAGCCAGCUCCGCCGUGACCCGGAAGUCCACUUCGAGUCGCCGGCCCACCCUCUCGGGUUCCGGCUUCUUCCGGGUCGCGGCCUUCCGGCGAACGCGGUUACCGUGGAAACCGCGGCCAUGGCGGCACCGCGGCAAAUCCCCAGCCACAUAGUGCGCCUCAAGCCCAGCUGCUCUACAGACUCGUCGUUCACCCGGACGCCGGUGCCCACCGUGUCUCUCGCGUCCCGCGAGCUGCCUGUCUCGUCGUGGCAGGUCACCGAGCCGUCAAGCAAGAAUCUGUGGGAGCAGAUCUGCAAGGAGUAUGAAGCUGAGCAGCCUCCCUUUCCAGAAGGAUAUAAAGUCAAACAGGAGCCUGUGAUUACGGUUGCGCCAGUAGAGGAAAUGCUUUUUCAUGGCUUCAGUGCAGAGCACUAUUUUCCGGUUUCCCAUUUCACCAUGAUCUCACGUACACCCUGUCCUCAAGAUAAAUCGGAAACAAUCAACCCAAAAACAUAGGAAAAGAACCAAAUUCAUUGCCUGUGAUUUUCUGACUGAGUGGUUAUACAACCAAAAUCCAAAGAGGGCAGGGGAGCCAUUCACAGAAUUUUUCUCCAUUCCAUUUGUGGAGGAGCGGCUAAAGCAACACCCACGGCCGCCAAUCCCACUCUCGCUCCUGCUGACAGAAGAGGAAGCAGCCCUCUACAUUCAAUCCUUCUGGAGAGCCUGUGUGGUUCGCUGUGAUCCUGAGAUUCAAGAACUGCGUCAGUGGCAGAAGAAACUUCGCGAGGCCAAGCACAUUCACCAGCAAGUCAAAAUUUUCUGGGCCAAGCAAGAACAAAAAGUGAAAUGCAAAAUGGAGGACGAUGCAGUACCUGCAGCCAAGAUGAAAAUUCCAUCAUCUUAACCAUAGCUAAGACGUAUCUUUGCCCAUUCGAGCACAAGUUACCUUGUGCAAGGAAAAUGUCCAAAUGAUGCUCUCUCUCUUGUGAUUUCUUUAACAAGACUUGGAACAUGUGCAAAUGGAAUCUUUUCUGUACAAGAUAGGAUUCAUUGCAAACAAGCUUUAAUGCAAAUAGUUUAGAAAAGAAAGGACCAGUCUUCACUUUCUGCAUUAUCCCCACAUUUUAUUCAUUCAUCCAGAUUACUUCUUCAGUGCCUCAGGAGUAUUCUUCUACACCAGCUGCUGUUAAAAUGUACAAUGAACUCUAGUCCCAAGGAAUACAGAAGUGCUCUUAUUACCAGUUUUCCCACUUGUGGCCGCCUUUGCAAAGAUCCAUAUUCUAAUUUAAGUCCCCAACCUCUGAAUUUGGUUUUAAGUUUACCUAGUGACUGACUACUCUCUUUAUAAAAAAGACCUUAUACUUAAUGAUCAUUUCCAAAGGAGACCACUCCUUAACUUUUACUGCAAACCCAACAAGAUGAGACACUUAAACCCAGACAGAUGUAACAAAGGAUUUUUGUUGUCUAAGUCCCAAAGUAUUAUAUAGAAAGUUCCUGCUUUUAUGGGUAAACUUAUUACCUUAAUAUGUUCUGUGGUUUGCUGUUAACCAAGAUUCUCCCAUUUAAAAUGCCACAGACCGACCCUCAAGGCAGAUCCGAAAGCCUAGUAGUUAGUUGCACUGGGUUGUUUUGACAAGCUACCACACGUCUUAAGUAAAUAGUAAAGCCUUUAUUUUUGUGUUAAGAACAGCAUUUUGAAAAUAAAACCUAUCUGCCCAUGGUUUACAGCCUUUUAAAUUUGUAAUAUUUAUAUAGUCGUUUAUGGUACAUAUUGAUUGUCUUGAAAUUUCUUUAACUUCUUUUUUAUAAGUAUGCAACAGUCAGCCGGGGGAAGAUAAAGGUACAUUAUAAAACACACAUUAAUGCAUUUAAUAAAUAUAUAUUAUCUAUCAAAAGUGAGCCUUAGCUCUUCAUCAGUUAAUAAAAAGCACCUGCUGAGAACUCCUGUAAGCUGGUAUCAUCAUUGCAUCAUUGGAUUAUAAAAGCCACAAUGCUCCCUUUCAACUUGGGGUUUGGCCUGAGGCGUUCAACUCAGCCUUGGCCAACCGAGACCACCACCCGAGUUCACCCUUGUUCAGUGGGUCCUGACGGCAUCUGGGCUAAAAAAAAAAAAAAAAAAAAGCACUGGGCGCCCAGCUUCCAACAACCAGAUCUUCAACUCUGGAAUCCCUGGAGAUGCACAGAACUUCCCAGUUUGUAAGCUGUCAGAGCUGACUCCCUUCUCUUCCCACCCUCCACCUCCAGUGGGGAGAAAUCCAGGCUAGAAUGACAAUUUUCUAUUAAAAGGGGGGACAAGAGUGGCUGUUAUAGACCCAAAGCGAUUUUAAUAACCAGACACGGAACAAUUUGUGCUUACAAUGAGAGAUUUUGAUCACAGAUGCUCUCCUCCCGGGUCGUUUUCCCCAAACGAGUCUUGUUUACACACGCAGAUCUUAAACAGAGGUGCCAUUUAAUUUUGUCUUUAAACCUUGCUCCACGGGGGGCAGCUGGCUGCUACAGUCUCUUGGCAAAGAUGUCUCUUGAUACUUUUCAGGUGUAGUCAUUAGAAAAAGAACAGCUCUCUCCCUUCUCCUCUCACUCCCGCCUCCGCCCCCAUUAUGAAGGCGUUCAGCCCACUCUCAACCUUAAAAGCCAAAAUAAAACAAAACCCUAAGUGCGAUAACAUAUCAGAUUUAAAAGGGGGGAAAAAGGUCUCAUUAAAUGAGGCUUCCCAUGGCUCAAAGAUGGCUCUGUUCUUAUGCUGGGGAAGCACGACUUUCCAUGGCAGCCAUUUGUGCUGUGCUCACCUUAUAUGCUUGGACAAUAAAGAACUUAGAAAACGAA
RNAcentral lists this long non-coding RNA (3384 nucleotides) under Homo sapiens (human). RNAcentral describes it as "long non-coding RNA NONHSAT172744.1". The record is from RNAcentral. Lineage: Eukaryota; Metazoa; Chordata; Mammalia; Primates; Hominidae.